RNAcentral lists this ribosomal RNA (253 nucleotides) under uncultured bacterium. RNAcentral's name for it is "partial 16S ribosomal RNA". It matches the Rfam family "Bacterial small subunit ribosomal RNA", at positions 524 to 776 of the family's 1533-position model. The record is from RNAcentral.
UACGUAGGGUGCGAGCGUUGUCCGGAAUUAUUGGGCGUAAAGGGCGCGUAGGCGGCUUGGCAAGUGGAUGGUGAAAUCCCUCGGCUUAACCGAGGAACUGCCGUCCAAACUGCUUCGCUUGAGACCGGGAGAGGUGAGUGGAAUUCCCAGUGUAGCGGUGAAAUGCGUAGAUAUCAGGAGGAACACCGGUGGCGAAGGCGGGUCUCUGGGCAACAACUGACGCUGAGGAGCGAAAGCGUGGGGAGCGAACAGG